CAACUGGUCGCAACCAGUUGGACCUAAAUAUUGUUCCCAAUUGUUCAUAUUGUUAAAGUUUACCAAGGGAGGUUACAUGGUCGUGUUAUAGUUUUUGGUAUAUCUUUUAUGUAAAAUACAAGAGAAAUUGAAUUAUUAAUUGAUUGAAUCGAAGUUUUAAUUUCUAGAGUACCAUUGAUUGAUAAUAAGUAAACCCUUCUAAGCGAUUAUGGAGGCUUUGAGGGAAAUUUGCAAUUUUUUAAUUCCGGCAUGUCGACAGGAUGUAAAAUGUGUUGCACUGAAACAUGUAUUAAGGAUGACAGGCACUAAAAAAGGGAUUGAAUUAUUGCUCAAUACUUCUGCAAUUUUAAAAUGUGUUAUUGCAUUGAUGCAAGAUGACUCUCCAGUGAUCGCUAAGGAUGCAUCUCUGCUGUUGAUUAAUAUCAGUGCAGAAGAGGAGGGGGCUAAUACUUUACUACUAAUUUCUGAAACGAGUACAAUUGAUGCUGAUCAUAAUAUAAGCAGUAAUCUAGUAAAUACUUGUCUAAGGUAUAUUAUGGAUAAGAAUAGUGUAAUAGCAGAUCCUUGCUCCAUGAUAUUAUCAAAUUUGACUCGCUCACGGAAUCAUGUAGAAAGAUUUAUAAAAUUAAUGGAGAAAAGUAGUUAUACAUGGGAUUCCAUUGUCACUGCUUUCACGACAGUAACUUACAACUGUAAAGGUGCAGAUCUGGAUUAUGUGGCAACUGUUUUGAGUAACCUCAGUCAAUCGCUUAGUGUACGCAGGUAUAUAAUGGAUAAGGAUCGGUGUGUUAUUCAGAGGCUGUUGCCAUUUACGGAGCACAAAAAUGAUGUAAGACGAUACGGAAUUGUUGCUACCUUGAGGAAUUGUUGUUUUGACAUCGAUAAUCAUGACUGGCUAUUAGGUUCAGAAGUUGAUAUCUUGCCACACAUUUUACUACCACUAGCAGGUCCUGAAGAGCUUCCUGAGGAAGACAACGAUAAACUUCCUCUGGAUCUACAGUAUUUACCAGAAACUAAGGAACGAGAGACAAAUCCCGACAUUCGGACCAUGCUUUUAGAAACUUUGAAUCAAUUAUGUGCAACUAAAAGUGGACGAAUUUUGUUGCGUGAAAAAAAUGCUUAUGCAAUAUUGCGGGAAUACCACAAGUGGGAAAAAAAUAAAUCUAUCCUGUUAGCCUGCGAAAAUGUUGUUGAUAUCUUAAUCAGAACUGAAGAGGAAAUAGGACUGGAUAAUUUAAAAGAUGUGGACGUACCGUCGAAAUACGAGGAAGAGUUUCAUAAAAUGAAUGAAGAGUUUAUAUCAGAGAAAUAACCGUGCAGGUACACUGUCAUCAAUGUAAAUUACUUUCUUAUCGGAGAUUCUGUAAAUAUUGUGCGACAUAACACGUCGUAAACAUUAUAUUCCUCCGUAUUAAAAACAGACAUAAUUUCACAAAGCUUUGCACAUUUCAUUCAACCGAUAGUAUUGCACUUGCCCCUUAAAUAUUUAUUUUUAAGCUAUCAGGUCCAGCGUAGCAGGAAAAUGUUUUACUAAAACAAGGCGAUGGAGACGUAUGGAAAAAUGUUACUACGAUUUAACAACUAACGACUUGUCCUGUGUUUUCUUAAUAAUGCUUUUGAAACUCUUAACCAUUCUCGACAGCACCAUUAUCCUAGUCCCAUAAAGGGGAUAGAAACUUCAGUUAACAAAAAAGAAUGGUUUAACACUAAGCCAGGUGACUCUGAAUUGAUACCCUUUCCUGGCAAAAGCCAGCACCUGAGAAGUACGUCAAGAAUCUAAGAAAGUUCACUUAGAGUUGCACAGAUGUUCUCUUUCACAUACCCGAAUUGCAGGAGCGCAAAAUAAUUGAAGCAGUAUUUAAAAUUAACGCAAGCAGGCCACUUUUAUUAUCAUCGAAAGCUAUAAUAUUUAAGCUCUAAGUAUUCAAUUCAGAACAUUAACAAUUUUUAAAAUCUGUGCAACAUUCAAGCGAACAUAAAUCAUUCAAGCAGAUAAUGACGCAGUAGAAAUUCGAUCACGAGAUCAGGAGAUUUUCAUUGUCAGGGUAAGUAACCCAAUCCGGCUUCUAAACUAAUGGAGCUCCG
This 2085-nucleotide unclassified non-coding RNA is filed under the name Orussus abietinus. RNAcentral's name for it is "protein HGH1 homolog, transcript variant X1". Lineage: Eukaryota; Metazoa; Arthropoda; Insecta; Hymenoptera; Orussidae. The record is from RNAcentral.